CUUACCAUGCAAGUCGAACGGGAUCUUCGGAUCUAGUGGCGGACGGGUGAGUAACACGUGGGAAUCUGCCCUCAGGAGGGGGAUAACAUUCGGAAACGAGUGCUAAUACCCCAUAUGCCGCAAGGUGAAAUGAAUUUCGCCUGAGGAUGAGCCCGCGUCUGAUUAGCUAGUUGGUGAGGUAAUGGCUCACCAAGGCAUCGAUCAGUAGCUGGUCUGAGAGGAUGAUCAGCCACACUGGGACUGAGACACGGCCCAGACUCCUACGGGAGGCAGCAGUGGGGAAUUUUCCGCAAUGGGCGCAAGCCUGACGGAGCAACGCCGCGUGAGUGAUGAAGGCCUACUGGUCGUAAAGCUCUUUUGUCAGGGACGAAACCUGACGGUACCUGACGAAUAAGCAUCGGCUAACUCCGUGCCAGCAGCCGCGGUAAUACGGAGGAUGCAAGCGUUAUCCGGAUUUAUUGGGCGUAAAGCGUACGUAGGUGGCCAAAUAAGUCUGGGGUUAAAGCCUGCAGCCCAACUGCAGAAAAGCCUCGGAAACUAUUUAGCUAGAGUGCGGUAGGGGUAAGGGGAAUUCCCGGUGUAGCGGUGAAAUGUGGAGAUAUCGGGAAGAACACCAGCGGCGAAAGCGCCUUACUGGACCGCAACUGACGCUGAGGUACGAAAGCCAGGGGAGCAAAUGGGAUUAGAUACCCCAGUAGUCCUGGCCGUAAACGAUGGACACUAGGUGUUGCGCGUAUCGACCCGUGCAGUGCCGUAGCUAACGCGUUAAGUGUCCCGCCUGGGGGAGUACCGCACGCAGUGUGAACUCAAAGAUGACGGGGGCCGCACAGCGUGAAGCAUGUGUUAUCGAUGCACGCGAGACUACAGGACUGACUGUCAGAUCUCUGA
Molecule: ribosomal RNA, 888 nt
Filed under: uncultured cyanobacterium
Lineage: Bacteria; Bacillati; Cyanobacteriota
Description: bacterial SSU rRNA
Rfam family: Bacterial small subunit ribosomal RNA
Source: RNAcentral